This 305-nucleotide ribosomal RNA is filed under the name uncultured bacterium. Its description in RNAcentral is "bacterial SSU rRNA". It matches the Rfam family "Bacterial small subunit ribosomal RNA", at positions 338 to 661 of the family's 1533-position model. The record is from RNAcentral.
CCUACGGGGGGCAGCAGUCGGGAAUAUUGCGCAAUGGAGGAAACUCUGACGCAGUGACGCCGCGUAUAGGAAGAAGGUUUUCGGAUUGUAAACUAUUGUCGUGAGGGAAGAAAUUGACAGUACCUCAGGAGGAAGCUCCGGCUAACUAUGUGCCAGCAGCCGCGGUAAUACAUAGGGAGCAAGCGUUAUCCGGAUUUAUUGGGUUUAAAGGGUGCGUAGGCGGAGUGUCAAGUCAGCGGUAAAAUUUCGGGGCUCAACCCCGUCGUGCCGUUGAAACUGACGCCCUUGAGUGAGUGAGAAGUAAG